This 497-nucleotide ribosomal RNA is filed under the name uncultured bacterium. RNAcentral's name for it is "partial 16S ribosomal RNA". It matches the Rfam family "Bacterial small subunit ribosomal RNA", at positions 28 to 507 of the family's 1533-position model. The record is from RNAcentral.
GACGAACGCUGGCGGCGUGCCUAAUACAUGCGAGUUGAGCGCUGAAGGUUGGUACUUGUACCAACUGGAUGAGCAGCGCACGGGUGAGUAACGCGUGGGGAAUCUGCCUUUGAGCGGGGGACAACAUUUGGAAACGAAUGCUAAUACCGCAUAAAAACUUUAAACACAAGUUUUAAGUUUGAAAGAUGCAAUUGCAUCACUCAAAGAUGAUCCCGCGUUGUAUUAGCUAGUUGGUGAGGUAAAGGCUCACCAAGGCGAUGAUACAUAGCCGACCUGAGAGGGUGAUCGGCCACAUUGGGACUGAGACACGGCCCAAACUCCUACGGGAGGCAGCAGGAGGGAAUCUUCGGCAAGGGACGAAAGUCUGACCGAGCAACGCCGCGGGAGUGAAGAAGGGUUUCGGAUCGUAAAACUCUGUUGGUAGAGAAGAACGUUGGUGAGAGUGGAAAGCUCAUCAAGUGACGGUAACUACCCAGAAAGGGACGGCUAACUACGUG